This 483-nucleotide ribosomal RNA is filed under the name uncultured bacterium. RNAcentral describes it as "partial 16S ribosomal RNA". It matches the Rfam family "Bacterial small subunit ribosomal RNA", at positions 28 to 507 of the family's 1533-position model. The record is from RNAcentral.
GACGAACGCUGGCGGCGUGCUUAACACAUGCCAGUCGAACGCUGAAGCUCAGCUUUUGUUGGGUGGAUGAGUGGCGAACGGGUGAGUAACACGUGAGUAACCUGCCCCAUUCUUUGGGAUAACGCCAGGAAACGGGUGCUAAUACUGGAUAUUCACUGGUCUUCGCAUGGGGGUUGGUGGAAAGGGUUUUUCUGGUGGGGGAUGGGCUCGCGGCCUAUCAGCUUGUUGGUGGGGUGAUGGCCUAACAAAGCGUUGACGGUUAGGCGGCCUGAGAGGGUGACCGGUCACAUUGAGACUGAGAUACGGCCUAGACUCCUACGGGGGGCAGCAGUGGGGAAUAUGGCACAAUGGGCGAAAGCGUGAUGCAGCGACGCCGCGUGAGGGAUGGAGGCCUUCGGGUUGUGAUCCUCUUUCGCUAAUGGUCAAGCCGCAACAAUGGUUGUGGUGAGGGUAGUGGGUAAAGAAGCGCCGGCUAACUACGUG